RNAcentral lists this transfer RNA (73 nucleotides) under Alligator mississippiensis (American alligator). It matches the Rfam family "tRNA". From Rfam's summary of the family: Transfer RNA (tRNA) molecules are approximately 80 nucleotides in length. Their secondary structure includes four short double-helical elements and three loops (D, anti-codon, and T loops). The record is from Rfam by way of RNAcentral. Lineage: Eukaryota; Metazoa; Chordata; Crocodylia; Alligatoridae.
GACCACGUGGCCAAAUGGAUGAGGUGCCUGACUUGGAAUCAGAAGACUGAGACUCCGAAUCCUUCCAUGAUCA